CCUAUCAGUUAGUUGGUGAGGUAAUGGCUCACCAAGGCGUCGACGGGUAGCCGCCCUGAGAGGGUGACCGGCCACAUUGGGAUUGAGACACGGCCCAGACUCUUACGGGAGGCAGCAGUGGGGAAUAUUGCACAAUGGGCGCAAGCCUGAUGCAGCAACGCCGCGUGAGGGACGACGGCCUUCGGGUUGUAAACUUCUUUUAGCAGGGAAGAAGCGAAAGUGACGGUACCUGCAGAAAAAGCGCCGGCUAAUUACGUGCCAGCAGCCGCGGUAAUACGUAGGGCGCAAGCGUUAUCCGGAAUUAUUGGGCGUAAAGAGCUCGUAGGCGGUUUGUCGCGUCUGCUGUGAAAACUGGAGGCUCAACCUCCAGCCUGCAGUGGGUACGGGCAGACUAGAGUGCGGUAGGGGAGAUUGGAAUUCCUGGUGUAGCGGUGGAAUGCGCAGAUAUCAGGAGGAACACCGAUGGCGAAGGCAGAUCUCUGGGCCGUAACUGACGCUGAGGAGCGAAAGGGUGGGGAGCAAACAGGCUUAGAUACCCUGGUAGUCCACCCCGUAAACGUUGGGAACUAGUUGUGGGGUCCAUUCCACGGAUUCCGUGACGCAGCUAACGCAUUAAGUUCCCCGCCUGGGGAGUACGGCCGCAAGGCUAAAACUCAAAGGAAUUGACGGGGACCCGCACAAGCGGCGGAGCAUGCGGAUUAAUUCGAUGCAACGCGAAGAACCUUACCAAGGCUUGACAUAUACGAGAACGGGCCAGAAAUGGUCAACUCUUUGGACACUCGUAAACAGGUGGUGCAU
RNAcentral lists this ribosomal RNA (798 nucleotides) under Microbacterium sp. V4.MO.42. Its description in RNAcentral is "bacterial SSU rRNA". It matches the Rfam family "Bacterial small subunit ribosomal RNA", at positions 237 to 1046 of the family's 1533-position model. The record is from RNAcentral. Lineage: Bacteria; Bacillati; Actinomycetota; Actinomycetes; Micrococcales; Microbacteriaceae.